Molecule: ribosomal RNA, 500 nt
Filed under: uncultured Glomeromycotina
Lineage: Eukaryota; Fungi; Glomeromycota
Description: SSU rRNA
Rfam family: Eukaryotic small subunit ribosomal RNA
Source: RNAcentral
CCAAUAGCGUAUAUUAAAGUUGCUGCAGUUAAAAAGCUCGUAGUUGAAUUUCGGGGUUAGUAGGUUGGUCAUGCCUCUGGUAUGUACUGGUCUCACUGAUUCCUCCCUCUUGAAGAACUGUAAUGCCAUUAAUUUGGUGUUGCAGGGAAUCAGGACUGUUACUUUGAAAAAAUUAGAGUGUUUAAAGCAGGCUUUAGCUUGAAUACAUUAGCAUGGAAUAAUGAAAUAGGACGUUCGAUCCUAUUUUGUUGGUUUUUAGGAUCAACGUAAUGAUUAAUAGGGAUAGUUGGGGGCAUUAGUAUUCAAUUGUCAGAGGUGAAAUUCUUGGAUUUAUUGAAGACUAACUACUGCGAAAGCAUUUGCCAAGGAUGUUUUCAUUAAUCAAGAACGAAAGUUAGGGGAUCGAAGACGAUCAGAUACCGUCGUAGUCUUAACCAUAAACUAUGCCGACUAGGGAUCGGAUGAUGUUAAUUUUUUAAUGACUCAUUCGGCGCCUUACG